AUAUGAGAGUUUGAUCCUGGCUCAGGAUGAACGCUGGCGGCGUGCUUAACACAUGCAAGUCGAACGAAGCUGCUAAAAGGAAGUCUUCGGAUGGAAUUUUAGUAGACUUAGUGGCGGACGGGUGAGUAACGCGUGGAUAACCUGCCUUAUACAGGGGGAUAACGGAGAGAAAUUUCCGCUAAGACCGCAUAAGACCACAGUACCGCAUGGUGCAGGGGUAAAAUAUUUAUAGGUAUAAGAUGGAUCCGCGUCCGAUUAGCUAGUUGGUGAGGUAGAGGCUCCCCAAGGCGACGAUCGGUAGCCGGCCUGAGAGGGUGAACGGCCACAUUGGGACUGAGACACGGCCCAAACUCCUACGGGAGGCAGCAGUGGGGAAUAUUGGACAAUGGGGGAAACCCUGAUCCAGCGACGCCGCGUGAGUGAAGAAGUAUUUCGGUAUGUAAAGCUCUAUCAGCAGGGAAGAAAAUGACGGUACCUGACUAAGAAGCCCCGGCUAACUACGUGCCAGCAGCCGCGGUAAUACGUAGGGGGCAAGCGUUAUCCGGAUUUACUGGGUGUAAAGGGAGCGCAGACGGCGAAGCAAGUCUGAAGUGAAAUGCAUGGGCUCAACCAAUGAAUUGCUUUGGAAACUGUUUGGCUUGAGUGUCGGAGGGGUAAGCGGAAUUCCU
RNAcentral lists this ribosomal RNA (668 nucleotides) under Lachnospiraceae bacterium oral taxon 082 str. F0431. Its description in RNAcentral is "bacterial SSU rRNA". It matches the Rfam family "Bacterial small subunit ribosomal RNA", at positions 1 to 671 of the family's 1533-position model. The record is from RNAcentral. Lineage: Bacteria; Bacillati; Bacillota; Clostridia; Lachnospirales; Lachnospiraceae.